CCUACGUGUGGCUGCAGUGGGGAAUAUUUCACAAUGGGGGAAACCCUGAUGCAGCGACGCCGCGUGAGCGAUGAAGUAUUUCGGUAUGUAAAGCUCUAUCAGCAGGGAAGAAGAUAACGGUACCUGACUAAGAAGCCCCGGCUAACUACGUGCCAGCAGCCGCGGUAAUACGUAGGGGGCAAGCGUUAUCCGGAUUUCAUGGGUGUAAAGGGAGCGUAGACGGCGAUGCAAGCCAGGUGUGAAAGCCCGGGGCCCAACCCCUGGACUGCAUUUGGAACUGUGUGGCUGGAGUGUCGGAGAGGCAGGCGGAAUUCCUAGUGUAGCGGUGAAAUGCGUAGAUAUUAGGAGGAACACCAGUGGCGAAGGCGGCCUGCUGGACGAUGACUGACGUUGAGGCUCGAAAGCGUGGGGAGCAAACAGGAUUAGAUACCCUUGUAGUC
RNAcentral lists this ribosomal RNA (440 nucleotides) under uncultured bacterium. Its description in RNAcentral is "partial 16S ribosomal RNA". It matches the Rfam family "Bacterial small subunit ribosomal RNA", at positions 338 to 795 of the family's 1533-position model. The record is from RNAcentral.